UUAGUUGGGAAAAGGAAAUUGUCUGCGUCUUUCCUUUGCAAACAUUUUCUCUCCGAGAUUUCCCUCACAAUCACCGAAAGUUUUCUCUCCCCAAUUGCGAUCUCCCAGAUUUCCCUCACAAUCACGGGAAAUGGAAAACCAGGGAGCAGCAGCAGCUGAACGUGCUUGUGGGACAGGAGGAGGUCAAUGCCAACCAUUAGUAAAUAUAAAAAGGUGCAGAAAAAAUAAAGAAGAUAUGUCGAUGGAAGUGAAUUAUGAAUUAAUACCUGAAUGUCGUCCACCACGUCCACUUAGUCUUCUCGAUUCUUGUUAUUAAGACUUGUUUAAUUUCUGGAUAGUUGCAACAGUAAAAAAAUACUUCAGCUUAUGCCGACUGCAACUAGUUAGCUUAUAAGCAAAACUUCUUUGUAAGCUUGUCUGUAAAUCUUGCAGAUAUUUGAUAAUAACCCAAAAGCUUUAUUACCCGUGAAUCUGACUUUGAAUAGCUAUUCUUACAA
Molecule: long non-coding RNA, 497 nt
Organism: Papaver somniferum (opium poppy)
Lineage: Eukaryota; Viridiplantae; Streptophyta; Magnoliopsida; Ranunculales; Papaveraceae
Exons: 3
Source: RefSeq, a predicted model, not a curated record